UUGCGUUGUGAUUCAUCGGUAUAGUUAGAUCCUAAACUGGUUCCAUGCUAUAGCACAUAGUGAUGUCUGUUUUAUGUAUAUGUAAGCAUACUCGUGUAAGCGUAAUCAUGUAAAAGUAUAUGAACGUAUGCCUUUGCUACCCAAAGGUACUGAACUGACUAAAAGGAACUAUUAUGUCCAUAUAUGUACACAUGAUAUAUAACUAAUGUUUAAACGACCUUCGGACGGGUACCCGAUAUCCCACCAGACCACAUCUCAAGCGCGAAAAGGAAAUAGGGUGGAUAGCCUUCCUAAGUCCUUUAAACAUUGCUUAUAUAAUUAUACAUAUAUAGGCAUGCUUAUAAUAGGAUCUCUAUGUAAACGUAUCAAUGUAAAUGUAAAGUAAUGUACUGUAAUGUUCUGCGUGUGCUAGCUGUAAUGUGUGUUCUUUCUCUAUCUAGCAAGUAUUGACUCAUGAAUGAACUGACUCAUUGUAUGAUAUCGCGUUCUAGUAAUAGUUCUAGUAAUAGUUCUAAUAUCUUCCUAAACUACCCAUAUGGUAGCUUACUAGUAAUAUAACUGGUACGUAUGAACAUGGAUGUAUACCCUUGCUAUCCAAGGGCAUUGGAUGAACUGGAAAGACCUUUUAUGACUAUAUAUGUACACAUGAUAUAUAACUAAUAUUUAAACGACCUUCGGACGGGUACCCGAUAUCCCACCAGACCACAUCUCAAGCGCGAAAAGGAAAUAGGGUGGAUAGCCUUCCUAAGUCUUUU
RNAcentral lists this long non-coding RNA (755 nucleotides) under Lactuca sativa (garden lettuce). RNAcentral's name for it is "long non-coding RNA (LSAT_LNC000827)". Lineage: Eukaryota; Viridiplantae; Streptophyta; Magnoliopsida; Asterales; Asteraceae. The record is from RNAcentral.